Molecule: ribosomal RNA, 460 nt
Filed under: uncultured bacterium
Lineage: Bacteria
Description: partial 16S ribosomal RNA
Rfam family: Bacterial small subunit ribosomal RNA
Source: RNAcentral
ACGCACGCUGGCGGCGUGCUUCACACCUGCAAGUCGCGCGGAAAGGCCCUUCGGGGUCCUCGAGCGGCGAACGGGUGAGUAACACGUGAGUAACCUGCCCCAGACUUUGGGAUAACCCUCGGAAACGGGGGCUAAUACCGGAUACGACACAGCUUCGCAUGGGGUCUGUGUGGAAAGUUUUUCGGUUUGGGAUGGGCUCGCGGCCUAUCAGCUUGUUGGUGGGGUGAUGGCCUACCAAGGCGACGACGGGUAGCCGGCCUGAGAGGGCGACCGGCCACACUGGGACUGAGACACGGCCCAGACUCCUACGGGAGGCAGCAGUGGGGAAUAUUGCACAAGGGGCGGAAGCCUGAUGCAGCGACGCCGCGUGAGGGAUGACGGCCUUCGGGUUGUAAACCUCUUUCAGCAGGGACGAAGCGUAAGUGACGGUACCUGCAGAAGAAGCGCCGGCCAACUACGU